This 451-nucleotide ribosomal RNA is filed under the name uncultured bacterium. RNAcentral's name for it is "partial 16S ribosomal RNA". It matches the Rfam family "Bacterial small subunit ribosomal RNA", at positions 354 to 796 of the family's 1533-position model. The record is from RNAcentral.
GUGGGGAAUAUUGGACAAUGGGCGGAAGCCUGAUCCAGCCAUGCCGCGUGUGUGAAGAAGGCCUUUUGGUUGUAAAGCACUUUAAGCGAGGAGGAGGCUCCUUUAGUUAAUACCUAAAGUGAGUGGACGUUACUCGCAGAAUAAGCACCGGCUAACUCUGUGCCAGCAGCCGCGGUAAUACAGAGGGUGCGAGCGUUAAUCGGAUUUACUGGGCGUAAAGCGUGCGUAGGCGGCUUUUUAAGUCGGAUGUGAAAUCCCUGAGCUUAACUUAGGAAUUGCAUUCGAUACUGGAAAGCUAGAGUAUGGGAGAGGAUGGUAGAAUUCCAGGUGUAGCGGUGAAAUGCGUAGAGAUCUGGAGGAAUACCGAUGGCGAAGGCAGCCAUCUGGCCUAAUACUGACGCUGAGGUACGAAAGCAUGGGGAGCAAACAGGAUUAGAUACCCCGGUAGUCC